UAACUUCAAGGUAGAGCGCUCGCUUUGCAUGCGAGAGGUCGGGGGUUCGAUUCCCCC
This 57-nucleotide transfer RNA is filed under the name Dracunculus medinensis (Guinea worm). It matches the Rfam family "tRNA", at positions 8 to 63 of the family's 71-position model. From Rfam's summary of the family: Transfer RNA (tRNA) molecules are approximately 80 nucleotides in length. Their secondary structure includes four short double-helical elements and three loops (D, anti-codon, and T loops). Further hydrogen bonds mediate the characteristic L-shaped molecular structure. tRNAs have two regions of fundamental functional importance: the anti-codon, which is responsible for specific mRNA codon recognition, and the 3' end, to which the tRNAs corresponding amino acid is attached (by aminoacyl-tRNA synthetases). tRNAs cope with the degeneracy of the genetic code in two manners: having more than one tRNA (with a specific anti-codon) for a particular amino acid; and 'wobble' base-pairing, i.e. permitting non-standard base-pairing at the 3rd anti-codon position. The record is from Rfam by way of RNAcentral. Lineage: Eukaryota; Metazoa; Nematoda; Chromadorea; Rhabditida; Dracunculidae.